Eubalaena glacialis (North Atlantic right whale) is the source of this 817-nucleotide long non-coding RNA. RefSeq lists it as uncharacterized. NCBI's taxonomy places the organism in Eukaryota, Metazoa, Chordata, Mammalia, Artiodactyla, Balaenidae. The transcript is spliced from 6 exons. The record is from RefSeq and is a predicted model, not a curated record.
CCGGGCAGCUCGAGCGCGUGCGGGCGGCGGCCGGCCUCUGCUCUUCCGUGAGGAGAGCGCGGUACUGUACAGCGAAUUCAAACUUGAACGGAAUCCCAGUCCUGGGUAUGGCAUCUGGCAUCUUAAGUGGCCACCUAAAGAGCUGGAUGACACAGUCCGGAAGUGUGGUGUGCUAAUUCCCAUGGAACAAACUUUGAUCACUGGGAAACUGAAGAUGGGAGGGAGAAAAUGCGUCAUGGUUCCAGCAUUUGUUUGAGGAUCUAUGUUACAUCUCACAUCAAUUUUUGUUCAUGGAGUGAGAAAGUCCUCAGACUCAGGGUUCAUUUUGCGUGGCUACCUCCAGAACACGUGAGCACCACUGGAUGCCAGAAAGUGGAUUUUCUCUCAGGCUUUCCCCAGAGACAAAGCUGUUGGCCAUGAAAGCAAGAUGAAGAAGAUCCUUGGGCCUGUACAAAUUUGGGAAAAAGAGUCACCCUAUUAGGACUUCCCUGGUGGUGCAGUGGUUGGGAAUCUGCCGGCCAAUUCAGGGGACACAGGUUCGAGCCCUGGUCCGGGAAGAUCCCACAUGCCACCGAGCAGCUAAGCCCAUGCGCCACAACUACUGAGCCUGUGUUCUAGAGCCUGUGAGCCACAACUACUGAGCCCACACGUCACAACUACUGAAACCUGCGUGCCUGGAGCCCGUGUUCCGCAACAAGAGAAACCACUACAAUGAGAGGCCCACACACCUCAAUGGGGAGUGGCCCCUGCUCGCUGCAACUAGAGAAAGCCCGCACACAGCAAAGACCCAAAGCAGCCAAAAAUAAAUACAUUUAUU